GUCCCUGCUCAUUUUGAGGAUGCAUCACAACAGGAAACUGCUAUCCCUCUAAAUUUCUGUCUUUACCAGCCUGCUGAAUCCCAGCCUGAAGAGACUGGAUUACUGCUGUGGAAGGCCUGUAUAGAGCCAGCAAGGUCCGACUGCAGCCUCCUCAGCCAGCCCUUUCCUAGGCCCGGGCCAGCAGGAGACAGAGACCAGGGACAGGGCCUGGGACAGACUCCACUCAGGACUUUGCCCUCCCGCUCCAGCUUUGUGGCUCCAAGGCUCAGCGGGUUGGCCUACUGGGACGUGUCUCCAACUCAGCUUCUCAAAGCCUGGUCCAAUUGGAGGGAAAUGUGGACAACAGGGAGGAAAAAGUGAUGCUGUCCAUGUCCAGGGUCACGGUGAGGGGAACCUAUAAUCCCAGCAAGCCAGAAGGCUGUGAUGGGAAAAUUGCUUGAAACCAGAAGUUUGCAGCUGCAGUGCACGAUGACUGUGCCUGUCAAGAGCCACUGCACUCUAGCCUGGGCAACAUAGCAGACCCUCAUCUCUAAUAAAAAAAAAAAAAAAAAAUGUUUGGUUGGGCAUGGUGGCUCACACCUGUAAUCCAGCACUUUGGGAGGCCAAGGUGGGUGGAUCACAAGGUCAGGAGUUCAAGACCAUACUGGCCAACAUGGUGAAACUCCAUCUCUACUAAAAAUACAAAAAUUAGCUAGGCAUGGUGGUACAUGGCUGUAAUCCCAUCUACUCGGGAGGUUGAGGCAGAAGAAUUGCUUGAACCAGGACCCAAGAGGCGGAGGUUGCAGUGAGCUGAGAUCACACCAGUGCAUCCCAGUCUGGGCUACAGAGUGAAACUCUGUCUCAAAAAAUAAUAAAUAAAUAAAUACAUUUAUUAAGAACAACAAUCCAGUAAGAUAGUAUGUAAGUGCUACUUGUUUGGGAAUAUUUGUAACAACAUCUUAACAUUUGUAUAGAGAAAAGGAAUGGGGCCUCCUAAACUUUGAGCAUCAUGUCAGUUAAGAUGUAACUGGCUGGUCAAAUCCAUAAUGCCUAACUCAUAAUAGCUCAAACUUUAUAAAACGUAUUCAUUGACUUAAUAAGGUGCUCCAGGACUGGUUCAGCGUCUCGAUGAAGUUGUUAAGGGCCCUGAUUAUUCUCUUUGUCUCCUCUUGAUUACAACAUGGCUGCCGCAGCUUUAGGCAUCAUGGCUUCUGCAACCAUGGCCAAAACAGAGACUUCUCAGCAGCUCUCCAACAGACUUCUCUUUGACUCUCAUUGGCCAGAACUAGGGCACAAACCCAUUCUUAAACCAACUUACAGCAAAAAGAGGGUUGUCAAGAUUGUCCUAGAACAGUUG
This 1336-nucleotide long non-coding RNA is filed under the name Callithrix jacchus (white-tufted-ear marmoset). Its description in RNAcentral is "lncRNA (ENSCJAG00000070676.1)". The record is from RNAcentral. Lineage: Eukaryota; Metazoa; Chordata; Mammalia; Primates; Cebidae.